Small nucleolar RNA from Sorex fumeus (smoky shrew), 134 nucleotides. RefSeq annotates it as small nucleolar RNA SNORA42/SNORA80 family. The transcript has a single exon. The record is from RefSeq and is a predicted model, not a curated record. Lineage: Eukaryota; Metazoa; Chordata; Mammalia; Eulipotyphla; Soricidae.
AAAUGGGUUUGGAUUUAUGGCAGGUCUCUCCAACUAUGCCUCUCAGUGUGUCCCAUGCCAGAGCAAGCUGUGACCCUGAACCAUUGCCUGACCCCUGACGGUGGACUGCAGGUACUGAAGCGGGUUGCACAGUG